Molecule: non-coding RNA, 23 nt
Filed under: Arabidopsis thaliana (thale cress)
Lineage: Eukaryota; Viridiplantae; Streptophyta; Magnoliopsida; Brassicales; Brassicaceae
Source: RNAcentral
GCCAUAGCACAAGCGUACUAGGA